UCUGGAGGGCAAGUCUGGUGCCAGCAGCCGCGGUAAUUCCAGCUCCAAUAGCGUAUAUUAAAGUUGUUGCAGUUAAAAAGCUCGUAGUUGAAUUUUGGGUCUGGCCGGGCGGUCCGCCCUCUGGGUGAGCACUGUUCCGACGUCGGGCCUAUCCUUCUGGUGAGUCGGCAUGUCCUUUAUUGGGUGUGUCGGGGAACCAGGACCAUUACCUUGAAAAAAUUAGAGUGUUCAAAGCAGGCGUAUGCUCGGAUACAUUAGCAUGGAAUAAUGAAAUAGGACGUUCGAUCCUAUUUUGCUGGUUUCUAGGAUUGACGUAAUGAUUAAUAGGGAUAGUUGGGGGCAUUAGUAUUCAAUUGUCAGAGGUGAAAUUCUUGGAUUUAUUGAAGACUAACUACUGCGAAAGCAUUUGCCAAGGAUGUUUUCAUUAAUCAAGAACGAAAGUUAGGGGAUCGGAGACGAUCAGAUACCGUCGUAGUCUUAACCAUAAACUAUGCCGACUAGGGAUCGGAUGAUGUUAAUUUUUUAAUGACUCAUUCGGCGCCUUACGGGAAAC
This 553-nucleotide ribosomal RNA is filed under the name uncultured Ambisporaceae. RNAcentral's name for it is "bacterial SSU rRNA". It matches the Rfam family "Eukaryotic small subunit ribosomal RNA", at positions 547 to 1098 of the family's 1831-position model. Lineage: Eukaryota; Fungi; Glomeromycota; Glomeromycetes; Archaeosporales; Ambisporaceae. The record is from RNAcentral.